UCUAAGUCUAGAGAGUCAAUCAUCUAGGACACAUAGUCCACAAGACGACAUUUUUUUGCAUCGUCUAAGACAAAUCGUCUAUCAAACAACUACAUUCAUGCAUUAGGCAUGUCUAAGUUCUAUGCCCAUCUCUAAAAGUUGUCUAGCAUUUCUAGACCCCAAACCCUCUCUUUUGUCUGCCGAAUCUUUUGUAUGCAAUAAAACCAUCUUCCUUCCUAUCAUAGCCCAAUCUCUCUCCUCCUCGAAACUCUUAAUCUCUGAUUUUAUCACUUCACACUCUUAUCCAUUGUUGACAAACACUUUUUUCAAAAUCUUCUCGGUAUUAAAGAGACUCAAAAUCUCCUUUCUACGUACUAACCACAUUAAAUGGAUGAGACUGAUCAAUCCCCCAUGAGUAACUUUUUCUCUCUAUUUAACUUGUUUCUCUUCUCAUCUUCUCAACUCAUUCUCUCAAACACUAAUUCCUCUCUCAUCAUCAUGACCUCUCAAUUCUCCAAUUUCUUCGACCUUCAAUAUUCAAGCCAAUGAAACCUUAUUCCAAACCUCUUGACCGUCAUCAUCAUCUCAUUCUUUCAUCAAAACAAGAUGUACAUGAUAAUUCAAUCUCCUCUCCUACUCCUAUUCUCAGAACUUACCUGUCACCACCACUCCUCACCUAACCCCCAUUCUACCACCACCACUCCUCACCUAACCCCCAUUCUACCACCACCACUCCUCACCUAACCCCCACAUCCAGAACAUUGUCCUUUUCAUCCUUCUUCUAUUCUUCAAUCCUUCACAUUUUCUUCUUUCCAACCGCUCCAACCUGUUUCUUCCCCUUUUCUAAGGGAGUUUUCUCUUUCCUUCUUUUCUCCAUCAUUGUCGGGUCAUGAUGUCUCUUCUUUCAGUUUUUUUCCCUUUUUGAUGUUGUUGAAAAUAGAAUGGCUUAGUUUCAAUACCAAGAGGGGGGAGGGGGGUUUGAAUUGGUGAAACACAAAAAUCAAAGUCUUUUAAAAUCUUUUUCGUAAAAGGAUGACCUUUCAAAAGUUUCUUGAAUCGCAAGGAAAAAGAUUUUCAAGUGCAAACUGCUUACAUCCAGUGUCCUUUGAAUCCCAGGGAAACGCAUGUUUUUAUACUGGUUCAGCCAAACUGCUUACAUUUAGUGUCCUUUCAAUCCCAGGAAGCAAAUGCACUAUAAUGAUCAGGAUUUUUACAACAAGGUUUCUAUAGCGACCUCCACGUCAAAAUAGAAAGCACCUCUCUAAUCCACUAACCAAAAUAUAGGCAUACAAACAAAGAACAACAAAAAUAUAUCCCCUCUCCCAUAGUCUUUAAUCACUUUA
This 1322-nucleotide long non-coding RNA is filed under the name Vigna radiata. RNAcentral describes it as "long non-coding RNA (VRAD_LNC007173)". Lineage: Eukaryota; Viridiplantae; Streptophyta; Magnoliopsida; Fabales; Fabaceae. The record is from RNAcentral.